Long non-coding RNA from Paramisgurnus dabryanus, 494 nucleotides. RefSeq lists it as uncharacterized. The record is from RefSeq and is a predicted model, not a curated record. Lineage: Eukaryota; Metazoa; Chordata; Actinopteri; Cypriniformes; Cobitidae.
UUCUGUGCUAUUUACUUGUUUAUGCCAUCUCCUCAUGCUCUCUGUUAAUUUACAGUUUAUUUGUUAGUAUUUCUGACAUCGGCGGGAAGUAACGUCCCCUCCCUCGCUGCACUGUGUGUGUGACAGACAUUGCUGUGAACUUCUGCUCCGCUGUGUGUGUAACAGGAUGCUUUAUCAGAUCUACCAAGCACCCCAUGCAUUCAAGUACUAGAUGAUGGAAGGUACAGCAUAUCGGUAGAUGAAAUUACAGUAAACCACAACAUCAGCUGUCCUUUGAUUGCGGUCAGCUACAUGUUUAGCCUCUUUUAUGUGCUAAACAUUAUGUACCCCAAGGGAGCAGCACUUACUCUGGAGUUUAUCCAAAGGAGUCUGCUCGGUAUAAAUCCUGAUCGUGGGUCCAAAGCGGAAAAAAAGGGAUCCAAACAGUACAGCAUUCCACCUAAACUCCUUAAAUUUCUUUCAGACCUUAAUGACUUCCAAAAUCCUUGGAAGAU